Molecule: ribosomal RNA, 465 nt
Filed under: uncultured bacterium
Lineage: Bacteria
Description: partial 16S ribosomal RNA
Rfam family: Bacterial small subunit ribosomal RNA
Source: RNAcentral
GAUGAACGCUGGCGGCGUGCUUAACACAUGCAAGUCGAACGGAAAGGCUCCUGCUUGUUGGGGUACUCGAGUGGCGAACGGGUGCGUAACACGUGGGUGACCUGCUCUGCAUUUCGGGAUAAGCUUGGGAAACUGGGCUUAAUCCAGUAUAGGAUGCUGCCUUGGAUGCCAAUGUGGGAAGUUUUGUGGUGUGGGCUGAGGUAGCGGCCUAUCAGCUUGUUGGUGGGGUACUGGGCUACGAAGGGGCAGACGGAUAGCCGGCCUGUGGGGGGGGACGGCCACAUUGGUACUGAGAUACGGCGCAGACUGCAACGGGGGGCAACGGUGGGGAAUAUGGCACAAUGGGACCGGGCCGGAUGCAGCGGCGCCGCGUGUGGAAUGACGGCCUGUGGGUUGUAAACUGCUUUCGCUUGAGACGAAGCGCAAGUGACGGUACCUGAAGAAGAAGCACCGGCUAACUACGUG